GCCACCACUCACUGUCUCCUUCUCUCUGACUCUCUCUCUCUCUCAUUUCAAACUCCAAAGUUUGCUAAAACCCAGUACUCUAAAACUUCCAUUCUCUGCAACUAACAACAAAAACAAACACCAGUUUUCAUUACAUAGUUUGUACUAUUUUUCAUUCUUACAAAACAUAGUACCUAUCAAUACCUAUGCACUAGCCUUGUUAACAGAAAAACACACCUACAGAGAGCUUUUACAAUGGUCCCAAUCCGAUUUCUGUUCCUAUCAUUUCUCUCAUUACUAUCAAACACUCUCAUCCCACUCUCCAAUGCUAAAGCUCAAUCAUUUUCACCAUCAAUAUAUGAAAUCCUUAAGGCUCAUGGGCUCCCAAUGGGACUAUUACCAAAGGGUAUCACAGACUUUGAUGUAGACACAAAUGGGCACUUUCAGGUGUACUUGGAUCAAGCUUGCAAUGCUAAGUUUGAAAGUCAAUUGCAUUAUGACAGAAACGUUUCUGGGACUCUAAGUUUCGGUCAGAUUGCUGGGUUGUCUGGUGUUUCGGCUCAGGAGUUGUUUCUUUGGUUUCCAGUUAAAGGGAUUCGUGUGGAUAUACCAAGCUCUGGUUUGAUUUACUUUGAUGUUGGAGUUGUGUUCAAGCAAUUCUCAUUGUCACUUUUCGAAACGCCGCCGGAUUGUAUGGAGUUGGCAACUACUAAUCUGCUGCUAAACCCCACCCAACAAGAAGUUGGACAAGUUUUUAAGAGUCAAUCUAGGAAGCUACGGUAUGAGCUUGGUCAGGAAGAUUUUGCGAGGGAUGUUGUGUAGCUUGUGAGGGGAGAGGGUGGUAUAAGUUGUGCGGCUCAUGAAUUCUUCCAUUCCCAUUGUAAAUGUCAUUGGAGAGUCUGGAUUAGGGGUUCUAUGCUUCAAUCCAGUGUGCUUGUUUCCAUUUUUCUUCCAUAUAGAUAGUGCAGAGUUCACAAACUAGCCAGCUCCUGUCUAUGAGAGGAUGGUCGGUGAAUUUGAUCGAGAGGGAAAAUAAGCAAGGCAGUGGAUGUCAUAAUCACCAGAUGCUUUUCCAACAGAAAAAGAAAAUGAGACAAGGCCAUCAAGUUGAGGCAAAUUCAGGUGUAAAUCUUGAAGGACUCUGUUUCCAUUUUCACAGAGUUUGAAGAAGGUUUGAUUAGUGAUGGUUAUGAGUGUAGAUGCCUACAAUGGUUUUUUUUAGGACUCUGUUUCCUUUCUCACAAUAUUGACUUUUCCUUUUUGGUUCUUAAUGUGCUUUUGGAAGCAGCUCUUUGCUGAUUGCUUAUUUGUUGAAAGUUGGUUAAAAUAUACUUGUACCUAGAUAAAUUGAGGAGUUAAAAAGUUGUACAUAAGCAAAUAAGCUAAAAGAAAAGACUUGUGGAAAACAGUUACACUUUUUCUUGAAUAUUAAAAUUUACUGAUUUCGUGUUCUUA
This is an RNA transcript of Quercus lobata, 1434 nucleotides long. RefSeq lists it as uncharacterized. The transcript is spliced from 3 exons. NCBI's taxonomy places the organism in Eukaryota, Viridiplantae, Streptophyta, Magnoliopsida, Fagales, Fagaceae. The record is from RefSeq and is a predicted model, not a curated record.